Molecule: non-coding RNA, 817 nt
Organism: Arachis ipaensis
Lineage: Eukaryota; Viridiplantae; Streptophyta; Magnoliopsida; Fabales; Fabaceae
Source: RefSeq, a predicted model, not a curated record
AGGCAUAUAAACACUGAAUUUUUUUAAAUGAAUUAAUUCUCUUUUAUUUAAAUGAUUUUUUUUUCACCAAUACUGAAUUGAUUACACUCAUUUGAACACUUCUUCCUGUAAGGGAGCAUCAAAACCGCAAUUCAGGCUGGGUCAGCAUUGGCAUUCACCUCUGCAUUGAUUGAUUUCAGAGGUCAGAGAAUAAAACAUGAUUCUCAUAAGGAGUAUGCUGCCUACAACUCUGCAUUGAUGAAAACUAUUAAGGGUGCAACAACUGGUUUAAUUUCUGGCACCCUCUGGGUACUGUUGUUGCCACCUGGAAUCAUGUUCCUCGUGUUGAGAGAAACGUUGCUCGUCCAGGCCUCAUAAGAACUUUCAAGAUGAUGGGCAACUAUGCAUUGACCUUUGUUGUCAUAGGAGGAGUCUACAUUGGUGUUAAGCAGUUGGUGCAGAACGCUAGGAUGAAGAGGGAUCUUGUCAAUUGUGCUGUAGGUGUGCAACUGUUCUGGGUUACAAAGAUGGUUGGUCAGUUAAUGUGCCUGCAAAUACUGGCACUGGAAGAAGUCAAUAUGUGAAUGCUGGAGAACUAAGUGGCAGGCUGGCAGCACUUCUUCACAUACUUAACAAGCUGAUAAACAUAGGGGUGUUAGCUUUAACACUGAUUUGAUACAUAGUGAUCUUAUAGCCUAUAUAAACAUUGUGGGAGCAUAGAACUAAGAUAUAUUUUUUCCUAUGUAAAUUCUCUUGCCGGUACAUAUUUAUUUGUCGCAAUCGGCCAAAACCAAACCCACAUUUAGUAUUUUGAAUGUUGCUUCUUGUGCUUCAUUUA